CUUCGACACCGAUAGAAGAGACCUCGCCGACGCCGGCUUCCGGUUCUCUGGAGCUGCUGCACCGUUGCCCGCACUCGUGGCUUCCGAUCUGACGGUGGAUAACCAUGCUGCUGCCAUCACCACCGCCAUUGUUUGCUACGAUUACUAGGCGUUUUAGCUGAUCCAGAAUUUUGUAAUCUGCAACCUUGGUGUUUAAUGGAGACGCCAAUAAAUGUAUGCGUCACAAGUUAGUGCUGCAGCUUUGGCACGCCGUUAUAACCGUGAGAUCUCAUGGAGUACUCCUUGAUCAGUUUGGAGAAGAAUGAAUUCUCUCUUUCCAGUAACUUAGCUGUUGCUGAGUCGACUGAUGCAGUCGCCUCAUCCAGGACGAGGAUGCUGCUUUUCUUUAGCAAAGCUCUUCCGAGACAAAACAGCUGCCUCUGGCCAACGCUCCAGUUCUCUCCAUUCUCCACCACUGAGGCCACAAUUACAGGAAUUUUACCUCCCAGAUUUGGUUGUCGGAGUGUUGCUCUAAGGGGUCAAGAUUGCCUCGGAUGGUUCCCUCGAACAUGGUUGGAUCCUGUGGAAUGAUACU
Salvia splendens (bonfire salvia) is the source of this 574-nucleotide long non-coding RNA. RefSeq lists it as uncharacterized. NCBI's taxonomy places the organism in Eukaryota, Viridiplantae, Streptophyta, Magnoliopsida, Lamiales, Lamiaceae. The record is from RefSeq and is a predicted model, not a curated record. The transcript has 4 exons.